UACCCCCAGUCCCAGCUGAUGGGCCUUCAUGUCUUCUAGCAAAGGGAAGCCACAGACUUAAGGAUCUUGGUGGGGGGGGGGGGCUUUAACCCUUCACUGCCUUAACCAAAGUUGAGUGCCUCUGGGCUUCACCUCUCCCCUUUCCUUCCCAACAGUUUCCCCCUUGAUUUUUCCAACCCCCAACCUGCCUGGAUCCCUGGGAUCCCCGACUCAGAGCCUGCCAAGCCUCACCAGAGCCCCUUCAGGUUUCGAGCCAGCGUCACAGAACCCUGAUGGAGGGAGGACCGGCGGAGGGAGCCAGGAGCCGGGAGCCAGGACCGCAAAGCUGCUGGGGAGGGGGGGCAGCCACCCCCGCCUCCUACCCCAGCACCUCCAGCCUGACUUGUUGAACGGGGCAGGCAGCCCAGCUACACACACCGGCCGGCACUGCCACCAAAAGAACUUUCAUCGCUGCCGGGAUGGAGGGGGAACCAAAGUUUCCCAUCGCCUGCUUCCCGACACCUCCCUCAGGGGGAGCAGGUGCAGGACUGGGAUGGGAGGGAAGGAGGGGGACAAGACUGGGGGAGGAGAGGGCCUCCGGAGGUCUCUUUUCAAAAGAACAAACCCCAGCUCCCCGGCGAAUGACUGGAGUCAGCUUACGAUAGGUUCACCAAAGCCUUAUUGCAGGGAGAACGGGUGCCAGCCGGGGAAUAUGAGCAGAUCUGUGCAUGCAGAGAAAGCCACGCGAGGGGUAGAGCAUUCUUCUACUGACACCACAUGUCUAUAGGGGAAGCUACAGUCACUGGGAGAGAGGGCUGGGAGCUGCAUGCUCUGGCCAUGGUGCUGAUGCUAGAAUGGAGUGCGCGAGAGGCUAGAACCCUCCCUGUCUCUUCCUCACUGUGUCACCUAUGGACUAGCCCUUUCCCCCUCUGAGCCUUAACUUCUUCAUCUGUAAAAUGGAAGAGAAGGAAACUGAGACCAUGAGAUGAAGUGGCUGGUCAAAGAUCCCUUCCAGGCACAGGUGGGGGACUAUGGACAUACAAUUUUGCAUACCCAGCCAGAUGCGGUUGCUGUGCUUAACCGAUUAUUUUCUUUGUCAUAAAGAAUCACAGAGUUGGUGGGGAGUGAAGUUGUGUAUAUUUGGAAAUGAC
Molecule: long non-coding RNA, 1130 nt
Organism: Dromiciops gliroides (monito del monte)
Lineage: Eukaryota; Metazoa; Chordata; Mammalia; Microbiotheria; Microbiotheriidae
Exons: 4
Source: RefSeq, a predicted model, not a curated record